UACGAAGGGGGCUAGCGUUGUUCGGAAUUACUGGGCGUAAAGCGCACGUAGGCGGAUUGUUAAGUCGGGGGUGAAAUCCUGAGGCUCAACCUCAGAACUGCCUUCGAUACUGGCAAUCUCGAGUCCGGAAGAGGUUGGUGGAACAGCUAGUGUAGAGGUGAAAUUCGUAGAUAUUCGCAAGAACACCAGUGGCGAAGGCGGCUCACUGGCCCGUAACUGACGCUGAGGCACGAAAGCGUGGGGAGCAAACAGG
Molecule: ribosomal RNA, 253 nt
Filed under: uncultured bacterium
Lineage: Bacteria
Description: partial 16S ribosomal RNA
Rfam family: Bacterial small subunit ribosomal RNA
Source: RNAcentral